ACAACAGGACUGGUGUUCUUAAGGAAAGAGGAACAGACGCCAGGAGCAUGUGCAAAGAGAGAAAAGACCAUACAAGGACAAGGACAGAAUCCGAACCUUGAUUUUGGACUUCUGAAGAGAACCAUAACAAAGUCCAAGUCCCUAGCCGUUGUAAUUAUUAGCAUAUUCCUGGAGAAAAUUGCAACAGUCUACAUUAAAGGACUCCCUGCAGAAAUUUACACAGUAAUGCCAUGUCCCUGACCCAGUAACUUGUCUCAGUCAAAGAUGCCAACCAAAUUUGAAGUAAAUAACAUCUGGCAUCAUUAAAGGGAGAGAUGGAGGGCUUGAUCUUGGAAAAGCAAUCUAAGAAUGUAAAACUGUCUGAAUCUUAGGACACGGCCACAUUCUAAAAAUAUAAAAUAAUCACAGUCAUCAAAGUUUAAUUGGAAAGAAAAAGGGAAAUAUGGAAGCAACAUGUCUUUAAAGCAGAGAAAUGCCCACAUGACACAUACAGAGGUUUCUAAAAACCAGAAGCAGAUGGACUAAUCCAAGCUCCUCGGAACAGACGGCUUAGCACGCUCCCCACACUGAAAACGGGGCUCCCCCACAGAGCUCAGCAUCCACAGAAGGAUUUGCCCAGACUCGGCGUCAGAAUGAGCACUCAUGAACUUCCCCUGGCCCCAUUAUCAACAACGAUGAGAAAGGUGUAUCCUUACCUGACCCUAGAGCACACCAGCCACCUGACCGGCAGACACCAGAUACCAUUGAGCAAGAUUAAACACCUGCUUAACAGGAAAAGGAAAAUAGGAAAAAGGAUUAUUUUCUCAUACAAAAUUAAGCUGUACUCCCUCUGUUAAAACAGAAGAAGAAGAAGAAGAAGAGGAGGAGUGGGGGGAGGAGGGGGAAGAAGAAGAAAAGGUUUGCUGUGUUGAGAGAUAUGUAUUUUCAGGAAGCUGCUGGGGCAGUUAGUUAUCUACUACAACUCUAGUAGAUGGAAAGACUUGGACUUGGAAGAAACUAUUUCCCCACAUCUGGGUCCAGAUCCCAUCCUUCAUCAUCUGAAAUUGGCAAAACCUGGGCCAAAAACUGGCUACUCUUUCAUGAGCAUUCUGCUGAAACCUGAGGUGCCUGAUUUUGGAGUUAUUGGAGAGGACAGAAAAGCUGAACCUUUCCCUCCUGUAGGGAGAAGUGGACCUUGGACCACAGAACUUGAUGGACAGGUGUUUGGAAGCAGGUGCUAUGGACACCUAGAAGAGAGUCCAAGCUGGGAGACGAGGAUGUUUUCUUAGUAGAAUGAAAGUUAUUUAUCAAGAUGUAUUCCUGGGAAAAAUGGGUAGGACAGUGGGGAAGGGAGACCCAGAAGAGCAGUAGACAAAGUGAAGGAGAGACAUCAAAUAAAGCCCCACAUUGAGCAUGGCUCAAUCCUGCAGGUGAGCCCUGGAGAAGGAGGACUUCACAUGUCACAGUUGUCCUGAUCAGAGGACAACUGGAGAGAGGCACUGGAGUUACUGAUGAAGGACUGCUCUUGGAGAACAUAAAGUUUCAGGCAAUUUGGCUCCAUAGAUAUGCAAAUAAAGUAGGUUUUGACAGUUGAGAGCUUCUCUCCAACAAAAAGUUGCAGGUACCUGCUAUCUUCUGGGAGUCAAAGCACAGCACACCAACAAUCCACCUGGACAAACAUGGUGAAGGGACAUGAGGGGUAAUGGUCAGAGUGUCCUCAAAAUGAUGUUUUCUGUUGCAGAUACCCUCACAGGAUACCCUUUUCCCAAAGUCUGAGGCAGGAAAGGCUCCUUUCCUUUGUGUUUGUUGGGUAAAGUGUUAAGUUCUCUGAUUUCUACACUCUGCUGCUUGGUGAAAAAUGACCCAUCUUCUAAAUUAAAGAACUAGGUAUUAAUAUAUUUUAAUUUAUUCUGAAAAUCUUAGUAGGGACAGAAAGAAGGACAAGGAGUUCAGGAUCUCAUUGAAGUACCUGAAGAGUCCACCCAGGAAAAUGACCAUGGAUUCCUAAGUACAGUCACCACAUUUCCUGUAAUUGAAGUGACAGCUGUUGAGAGGGAGGGCCAGCAGCUGUCUUAAUGUCUUGAUUUCUGUGCCUGGUCUAUCAUUAGCAAGGAAGAAAAAAAAAAGUUGAUAUAGCCUAUUGUCAUCAAAUGCAUUGCUGAGAUCAGAUUUAUGUUUAUUUCAAUCGCUCAGGUUUUAUGUUUACUUUUUUUUUUGUAAAAAAAAAAAUGCCUUUCAAACUCUUCCUCUCCUUCAUCAUAUUUUUUCUUCACCAAAAACAAACAUAGUAUAGUGACACUGCCUAGGCAGCAGUUUCUUGAGUCAGAUUGGAAGGGCUAAGUAUGAAUGGAUGAGAAUAAAACCAAAAUUGAGUUGGGGGAUCUUCUGUUGAAACAGUGAUCUUGUCUCUCCUACUUUUCAAAGCAGCCUCUCCCCUUGUGCCACCUGCACCCGAGGGUCAAAAGUCCUGCAGCUCGGCAGGGAGAAAGAGCAGUCAGAACUGUCGUAUCUGCAUUGCUUGCUUAUCCCAGGAAGCCUGUACCCACGAACCCAUGUCCUGGUGCACCAGGAGUAUUUAGUAUGCUGUAAUAUCAGCAUCAAGAGUGUCUAGGGCAUGAUUCUGCAGAAGCUAUGAUUCUUUCGAUGCUUCUUCCCCAAGAUUCAAUUUGUGACCUGAAAUUUGUAGCAGAGCCCUUAAGGCAACUAUGUCAGAAAAACCAGGAACCACCUACUGCUACUCACACUUAACAGUUGUGGUUAAUUUAUCACAGUAACCCAUGAUAUGAAAGGGAGAGCAGAACCCCCUAAUGGGGUACGACACAUAAAUACUUUAUGAUGCUUAACAUGAGGAUUAUCCUCAUAAGAAUAUAUUACAAACAGUAAUAGCAGUAAGACAUUUCCAGGCCCUUCCAACCCAUCCAGUAAAGCAGGUGUUAAAAUAGUUACCAAUUGAUAAGGUCAUUUCAAACCUAUAAAUAAAACUUUUUAAAAGUUCAACUUGUUGAACUUUGUGUGCCCAUCUUUGGCUUCUAUUUAUCAUGGAAGGUAAACAAUGGUUCAACUAUGUUUAUAUUAAUAGCAUUUUACCUGCACAUGAUUUACUUAGGUAAGAUUGAGCUUCUCUUUUUGAUUAGAUAGCUCCUCCCAUAUUUUGACCUUGAUAAGUAGGACAGCUCUCAAUAUAGUGUUGAGCUAAUUAAAAAUGUACUGAAUACAAAUAGGCAAAGCACAGAGGAUUUUUAGGGCAGAUUUUAGAGUAGUGAUUUUUUAAAUACUACACUAUGUGAUACCACAAUGGUGAUAUAUGUCUAAGCCCAUAGAACAUACAACACCAAGAGUGAACCCUAAUGGAAACUAUGGACUUUGAGUGUCAAAUGCCACGUUAUGUUGGGGAACGUUGAUAACAGGGGAGACUGUGCCUGAGUGGAGGGAGGGCUGCAUGGGAAAUCUCUGUACCUUUCAUUUAAUUCUUCUG
Molecule: non-coding RNA, 3454 nt
Organism: Microcebus murinus (gray mouse lemur)
Lineage: Eukaryota; Metazoa; Chordata; Mammalia; Primates; Cheirogaleidae
Source: RefSeq, a predicted model, not a curated record